GACGUAGGGCGCGAGCGUUGUCCGGAUUUAUUGGGCGUAAAGAGCUCGUAGGCGGCUUGUCGCGUCGACUGUGAAAUCCCGCGGCUCAACUGCGGGUCUGCAGUCGAUACGGGCAGGCUAGAGUUCGGUAGGGGAGACUGGAAUUCCUGAUGUAGCGGUGAAAUGCGCAGAUAUCAGGAGGAACACCGGUGGCGAAGGCGGGUCUCUGGGCCGAUACUGACGCUGAGGAGCGAAAGCGUGGGGAGCGAACAGG
This 253-nucleotide ribosomal RNA is filed under the name uncultured bacterium. RNAcentral's name for it is "partial 16S ribosomal RNA". It matches the Rfam family "Bacterial small subunit ribosomal RNA", at positions 524 to 776 of the family's 1533-position model. The record is from RNAcentral.